RNAcentral lists this ribosomal RNA (1176 nucleotides) under Dendrochiton gothicus. RNAcentral describes it as "partial 16S ribosomal RNA". It matches the Rfam family "Bacterial large subunit ribosomal RNA", at positions 536 to 2711 of the family's 2925-position model. Lineage: Eukaryota; Metazoa; Mollusca; Polyplacophora; Chitonida; Mopaliidae. The record is from RNAcentral.
AAGGAAAAUAAAAGUUUAAAAAAGUAUAAAUUAAUCUUAGUACCUUUUGCAUUAUGGUUCAACGAGAUUUAUUUAUAAUAUAGUAAACUCUAGAAAAAAAAGGAGCUAUAUAUAUACCCUAUUAAUGUGGCAAAAUUAAAAUUGAUUUAUUUAUAGAAGUGAAAUGCUUAUCGAAUUUUUUGAUAGCUAGUUGAAAGAGACAGGUAUCUAAGUACCAGCUAAAAUUAUAUUAAAUUAUUUUUUAAAUCAUUAUAACUUUAACUACCAUUUUAUUAGGCUAAGCUAAUAAAAUUUUAAAGAAAAAUAAAAAUAUAUUUUUUCAAUGUAAGCUUAGAAGUUACUAACAUAAUAAUAGUAUUUUAACAAAAACAACAAAAAUUAUAUUUUUAUUUCUUUUCAUUUAUCUUUUCUUAUUUAAAAAUCAUAUUUUAAAAUCGCUUAUGUUAAAAUGAGUAUUAAAAUUAGAGUCUAGUUUAUAAAGAGCAAGAAUAAAAACCAUUAUAAUCUAAAUUUAUAUAAAUAUAAAAAAGGAACUCGGCAAAUAUAUACCUCGCCUGUUUAUCAAAAACAUCGCUCUUUGAAAAUUAUAUAUAAAGAGUCGUGCCUGCCCAGUGAAUAUUUUUUAACGGCCGCAGUACCCUGACUGUGCUAAGGUAGCAUAAUCACUUGUUUUUUAAUUGAAAGCUUGUAUGAAUGGCUUGACGUAGGUAAAGCUGUCUCUUUUAUACUAAAUAGAAAUUAAUUUUUAAGUGCAGAAGCUUAAAUUUAACCAAAAGACGAAAAGACCCUAUCGAGCUUGAAAAUUAUAAUUAAAUUAAGUUUAUAGAAAAACAACUUUUAAUUAAUUUUUUUUGUUGGGGCGACAAACGAACAAAUAAAGCUUCUUUUUAUUAUAAAAAUUUAUAAAUUGUUAGAUCCAUAAUUUAUGAUUAAAAGAAAAAGCUACCGUAGGGAUAACAGCGUUAUUUUUUCAGAGAGCUCUAAUCGAAGAAAAAGUUUGCGACCUCGAUGUUGGAUUAAAGUAACUUUUAAGUGCAGAAGCUUAAAAAGUGGGUCUGUUCGACCCUUAAACCUUUACAUGAUCUGAGUUCAGACCGGCGUAAGCCAGGUUGGUUUCUAUCUUUGGGUAAAAACUCUAUAUUUUAGUACGAAAGGACCAAGUAUAGUAAAUAAUUU